RNAcentral lists this ribosomal RNA (55 nucleotides) under Escherichia coli O111:NM str. K6908. Its description in RNAcentral is "partial 23S ribosomal RNA". The record is from RNAcentral. Lineage: Bacteria; Pseudomonadati; Pseudomonadota; Gammaproteobacteria; Enterobacterales; Enterobacteriaceae.
CGUUGAGCUAAACGGUACUAAUGAACCGUGAGGCUUAACCUUACAACGCCGAAGC